RNAcentral lists this ribosomal RNA (468 nucleotides) under uncultured bacterium. RNAcentral's name for it is "partial 16S ribosomal RNA". It matches the Rfam family "Bacterial small subunit ribosomal RNA", at positions 28 to 507 of the family's 1533-position model. The record is from RNAcentral.
GACGAACGCUGGCGGCGUGCUUAACACAUGCAAGUCGAACGGAAAGGCCCUGCUUUUGUGGGGUGCUCGAGUGGCGAACGGGUGAGUAACACGUGAGUAACCUGCCCUUGACUUUGGGAUAACUUCAGGAAACUGGGGCUAAUACCGGAUAGGAGCUCCUGCUGCAUGGUGGGGGUUGGAAAGUUUCGGCGGUUGGGGAUGGACUCGCGGCUUAUCAGCUUGUUGGUGGGGUAGUGGCUUACCAAGGCUUUGACGGGUAGCCGGCCUGAGAGGGUGACCGGCCACAUUGGGACUGAGAUACGGCCCAGACUCCUACGGGAGGCAGCAGUGGGGAAUAUUGCACAAUGGGCGGAAGCCUGAUGCAGCAACGCCGCGUGCGGGAUGACGGCCUUCGGGGUGUAAACCGCUUGCGCCUGUGACGAAGCGUGAGUGACGGUAAUGGGUAAAGAAGCACCGGCUAAGUACGUG